RNAcentral lists this ribosomal RNA (344 nucleotides) under uncultured Acinetobacter sp. RNAcentral's name for it is "bacterial SSU rRNA". It matches the Rfam family "Bacterial small subunit ribosomal RNA", at positions 9 to 355 of the family's 1533-position model. The record is from RNAcentral. Lineage: Bacteria; Pseudomonadati; Pseudomonadota; Gammaproteobacteria; Moraxellales; Moraxellaceae.
GAGUUUGAUCCUGGCUCAGAUUGAACGCUGGUGGCAGGCUUAACACAUGCAAGUCGAGCGGGGAAAGGUAGCUUGCUACCUAACCUAGCGGCGGACGGGUGAGUAAUGCUUAGGAAUCUGCCUAUUAGUGGGGGACAACAUCUCGAAAGGGAUGCUAAUACCGCAUACGUCCUACGGGAGAAAGCAGGGGAUCUUCGGACCUUGCGCUAAUAGAUGAGCCUAAGUCGGAUUAGCUAGUUGGUGGGGUAAAGGCCUACCAAGGCGACGAUCUGUAGCGGGUCUGAGAGGAUAAUCCGCCACACUGGGACUGAGACACGGCCCAGACUCCUACGGGACGCAGCAGA